RNAcentral lists this ribosomal RNA (437 nucleotides) under uncultured bacterium. RNAcentral's name for it is "partial 16S ribosomal RNA". It matches the Rfam family "Bacterial small subunit ribosomal RNA", at positions 29 to 507 of the family's 1533-position model. The record is from RNAcentral.
AGCGAACGCUGGCGGCAGGCUUAACACAUGCAAGUCGAGCGGGCACCCUGGUGGUGUCAGCGGCAGACGGGUGAGUAACGCGUGGGAACGUGCCCUUCGGCUCGGAAUAACUCUGGGAAACUUGAGCUAAUACCGGAUACGUGCGAGAGCAGAAAGGUUUAUCUGCCGAAGGAUCGGCCGGCGUCUGAUUAGCUAGUUGGUGAGGUUAUGGCGCACCAAGGCCACGAUCAGUAGCUGGGCUGAGAGAAUGGUCAGAGACACUUGGACUGAGACACGGUCCAGACUCUUACGGGAGGCAGCAGUGGCGAAUAUUGGACAAUGGGGGCAACGCUGAUCCAGCUAGGCCGGGAGAGUGAUGACGGUCUUAGGGAUGUAAAGCUCUUUUAUCCGGGACGGUAAUGACGGUACCGGAGGAAUAAGCCCCGGCUAACUUCGUG